Molecule: small RNA, 520 nt
Filed under: uncultured Glomus
Lineage: Eukaryota; Fungi; Glomeromycota; Glomeromycetes; Glomerales; Glomeraceae
Description: SSU rRNA
Rfam family: Eukaryotic small subunit ribosomal RNA
Source: RNAcentral
AGCAGCCGCGGUAAUUCCAGCUCCAAUAGCGUAUAUUAAAGUUGUUGCAGUUAAAAAGCUCGUAGUUGAAUUUCGGGGUUAGUAGGUUGGUCAUGCCUCUGGUAUGUACUGGUCUCACUGAUUCCUCCUUCCUGAUGAGCCGUAAUGCCAUUAAUUUGGUGUUGCGGGGAAUUUGGACUGUUACUUUGAAAAAAUUAGAGUGUUUAAAGCAAGCUAACGCUUGAAUACAUUAGCAUGGAAUAAUGAAAUAGGACGUUCGAUCCUAUUUUGUUGGUUUCUAGGAUUGACGUAAUGAUUAAUAGGGAUAGUUGGGGGCAUUAGUAUUCAAUUGUCAGAGGUGAAAUUCUUGGAUUUAUUGAAGACUAACUACUGCGAAAGCAUUUGCCAAGGAUGUUUUCAUUAAUCAAGAACGAAAGUUAGGGGAUCGAAGACGAUCAGAUACCGUCGUAGUCUUAACCAUAAACUAUGCCGACUAGGGAUCGGAUGAUGUUAAUUUUUUCAAUGACUCAUUCGGCGCCUU